Molecule: ribosomal RNA, 466 nt
Filed under: uncultured bacterium
Lineage: Bacteria
Description: partial 16S ribosomal RNA
Rfam family: Bacterial small subunit ribosomal RNA
Source: RNAcentral
GAUGAACGCUGGCGGCGUGCUUAACACAUGCAAGUCGAACGAUGAAGCCCAGCUUGCUGGGUGGUUUAGUGGCGAACGGGUGAGUAACACGUGAGUAACCUGCCCUUAACUCUGGGAUAAGCCUGGGAAACUGGGUCUAAUACCGGAUAGGAGCGUCUACCGCAUGGUGGGUGUUGGAAAGAUUUAUCGGUUUUGGAUGGACUCGAGGCCUAUCAGCUUGUUGGUGAGGUAAUGGCUCACCAAGGCGACGACGGGUAGCCGGCCUGAGAGGGUGACCGGCCACACUGGGACUGAGACACGGCCCAGACGGCUACGUGAGGCAGCAGUCGGGAAUAUUGCACAAUGGGCGCAAGCCUGAUGCAGCGGCGCCGCGUGAGGGAUGACGGCCUUCGGGUUAUAAACCUCUUUCAGUAGGGAAGAAGCGAAAGUGACGGUACCUGCAGAAGAAGCACCGGCUAACUACGUG